This 72-nucleotide transfer RNA is filed under the name Bos taurus (domestic cattle). It matches the Rfam family "tRNA". From Rfam's summary of the family: Transfer RNA (tRNA) molecules are approximately 80 nucleotides in length. Lineage: Eukaryota; Metazoa; Chordata; Mammalia; Artiodactyla; Bovidae. RNAcentral also lists the same sequence under 5 other names. The record is from Rfam by way of RNAcentral.
UCCCUGGUGGCUCAGAGGGUAAAGCGUCUGCCUGCAGUGCAGGAGACCCGGGUUCGAUCCCUGGGUUAGGAA